RNAcentral lists this ribosomal RNA (997 nucleotides) under Salmonella enterica. RNAcentral describes it as "partial 23S ribosomal RNA". It matches the Rfam family "Bacterial large subunit ribosomal RNA", at positions 632 to 1548 of the family's 2925-position model. Lineage: Bacteria; Pseudomonadati; Pseudomonadota; Gammaproteobacteria; Enterobacterales; Enterobacteriaceae. The record is from RNAcentral.
AUUCUGUAGCAAGGUUAACCGUAUAGGGGAGCCGGAGGGAAACCGAGUCUUAAUUGGGCGUUAAGUUGCAGGGUAUAGACCCGAAACCCGGUGAUCUAGCCAUGGGCAGGUUGAAGGUUGGGUAACACUAACUGGAGGACCGAACCGACUAAUGUUGAAAAAUUAGCGGAUGACCUGUGGCUGGGGGUGAAAGGCCAAUCAAACCGGGAGAUAGCUGGUUCUCCCCGAAAGCUAUUUAGGUAGCGCCUCGUGAAUUCAUCUCCGGGGGUAGAGCACUGUUUCGGCUAGGGGGCCAUCCCGGCUUACCAACCCGAUGCAAACUGCGAAUACCGGAGAAUGUUAUCACGGGAGACACACGGCGGGUGCUAACGUCCGUCGUGAAGAGGGAAACAACCCAGACCGCCAGCUAAGGUCCCAAAGUCAUGGUUAAGUGGGAAACGAUGUGGGAAGGCCCAGACAGCCAGGAUGUUGGCUUAGAAGCAGCCAUCAUUUAAAGAAAGCGUAAUAGCUCACUGGUCGAGUCGGCCUGCGCGGAAGAUGUAACGGGGCUAAACCAUGCACCGAAGCUGCGGCAGCGAACGUAUCACCCAAGACAACUUUACGGAGUUGACGAUUGACGGAGCGAAGCGACGUCAAAGCGUUCAUUAAAGUCGAGUUGGCUUAGGGAUACGUUCGUUGGGUAGGGGAGCGUUCUGUAAGCCUGUGAAGGUGUGUCGUGAGGCAUGCUGGAGGUAUCAGAAGUGCGAAUGCUGACAUAAGUAACGAUAAAGCGGGUGAAAAGCCCGCUCGCCGGAAGACCAAGGGUUCCUGUCCAACGUUAAUCGGGGCAGGGUGAGUCGACCCCUAAGGCGAGGCCGAAAGGCGUAGUCGAUGGGAAACGGGUUAAUAUUCCCGUACUUGGUGUUACUGCGAAGGGGGGACGGAGAAGGCUAUGUUGGCCGGGCGACGGUUGUCCCGGUUUAAGCGUGUAGGUGUGUGUUCCAGGUAAAUCCGGUUC